UACAGAGGUCUCAAGCGUUGUUCGGAAUUACUGGGCGUAAAGAGUGUGUAGGCGGCUCGUUGCGUCGGCUGUGAAAACCCGCAGCUCAACUGUGGGCUUGCAGCUGAUACGGGCGGGCUUGGAUUCGGUAGGGGAGACUGGAAUUCCUGGUGUAGCGGUGAAAUGCGCAGAUAUCAGGAGGAACACCGGUGGCGAAGGCGGGUCUCUGGGCCGAUAUCGACGCUGAGGAGCGAAAGCGUGGGGAGCGAACAGG
This 253-nucleotide ribosomal RNA is filed under the name uncultured bacterium. Its description in RNAcentral is "partial 16S ribosomal RNA". It matches the Rfam family "Bacterial small subunit ribosomal RNA", at positions 524 to 776 of the family's 1533-position model. The record is from RNAcentral.